This 911-nucleotide long non-coding RNA is filed under the name Anas platyrhynchos platyrhynchos (common mallard). RNAcentral's name for it is "lncRNA (ENSAPLG00000030841.1)". Lineage: Eukaryota; Metazoa; Chordata; Aves; Anseriformes; Anatidae. The record is from RNAcentral.
CCCUGGAAGUUCUGUACAAACAGCACUGCAGAUACAUUGCAUGUGUCUGUGGAGGAGUUUUCUGAUGUGAAGCCCAUCACAGCUCCUUAAAUCAUAUUCACUAGGACAGACUUUUCCAUGUCCCACCAGUUCCCAAGACGAUUUUGCAGAAGAAACCCAGAAGGAAUAUUUUGGAUACUUCAGACCUGUUACCUGGAAUUUCCAGGGCUGUGCCUGAGCAGCAGAGUUGCUCCUGGAGCAUUGGUCACCUGGAGGCUGCUGGCACACAUCUUUGUCCCUCACUAGGGCCAUCAGGGAGAGGAGGACCCAGACAACUGCCCAUCUUUCUCUCAGUGGAUUUUUCACUUGUUGCGACUUGUGCUGUUUCUCCACCACUACCAGAGGCACUGAUGACAUCCUGCAUAAAAAUACAAGGUGGGAUACUUUGGGCUGUAUGCUAUGCAUCAGUAUAUAGGAUGACACUUAGAUGGAACUGCGGGGUUUUCACCAACUGGAGGGUGUAGUGGGAGGUGCCAAGCCGUAGUAAAACCAGACCUACUCUUCCCAGAGCUCCGAAGCGUUCUGCCAACAAGUGACAUGUCUCUGCAAACGCUUUGCGUUCUGAUCGUGAGCUGUCAUUGGAAUCGAGGAGAGCACACGUGACUGUAAAGCACGUGCCUCUAGCAUUGACUAAGACUAAUAUGUCAGUUAUUUAUCAAUCUGUGAUGCAUCAAAAGCUGUGGAACCAAAAAAAAUAUUGAACAACUGGGAAUUCUAAAAGCAUUUGCUUCUCGUCCUCGUUCCCACUUGCUUUCUAUUCACAUUACCAUGAGUCAACGUACCACAGACAUGAUUAGGUUUGUGUUUCCCAUCUUAAAUACUUGUCAGCAGUACUGCCAAGAUAAAAAAUAAUAAAUAGAGAAUUGUAGUCA